RNAcentral lists this ribosomal RNA (433 nucleotides) under Staphylococcus epidermidis NIHLM015. RNAcentral describes it as "bacterial LSU rRNA". It matches the Rfam family "Bacterial large subunit ribosomal RNA", at positions 2490 to 2925 of the family's 2925-position model. The record is from RNAcentral. Lineage: Bacteria; Bacillati; Bacillota; Bacilli; Caryophanales; Staphylococcaceae.
CCCCAAGAGUUCACAUCGACGGGGAGGUUUGGCACCUCGAUGUCGGCUCAUCGCAUCCUGGGGCUGUAGUCGGUCCCAAGGGUUGGGCUGUUCGCCCAUUAAAGCGGUACGCGAGCUGGGUUCAGAACGUCGUGAGACAGUUCGGUCCCUAUCCGUCGUGGGCGUAGGAAAUUUGAGAGGAGCUGUCCUUAGUACGAGAGGACCGGGAUGGACAUACCUCUGGUGUACCAGUUGUCGUGCCAACGGCAUAGCUGGGUAGCUAUGUAUGGACGGGAUAAGUGCUGAAAGCAUCUAAGCAUGAAGCCCCCCUCAAGAUGAGAUUUCCCAACUUCGGUUAUAAGAUCCCUCGAAGAUGACGAGGUUAAUAGGUUCGAGGUGGAAGCGUGGUGACACGUGGAGCUGACGAAUACUAAUCGAUCGAAGACUUAAUCAA